UUUCUUGGUCUUGGGCGCAAAAGUUCUUCCAAAGAGUCAGCGCUGCUAGAUCCCACCUCCUCCUCUAAUACUCUUUCUACAUUUAUCCCUUCAUUACGUGCUUCUUCAGCAAUUCUGGGAGCUGGGUUGCCUUCAUCAUCAUCUAAAUGAAGAGGUCUAAUCCAUUGAAAAAGUUGGUUACCCUCUGUAUCAUCAUCUUCACCAACAAUAUCAAACACAUCUAGUGGGUCCCCACAGUCGACAUGAUCUAUUUCUGCUUCCUUAUCUCGAAUUUGAAGCUUCAUGUUGUAGU
This 292-nucleotide long non-coding RNA is filed under the name Malus domestica (apple). RNAcentral's name for it is "long non-coding RNA (MDOM_LNC012013)". The record is from RNAcentral. Lineage: Eukaryota; Viridiplantae; Streptophyta; Magnoliopsida; Rosales; Rosaceae.